Molecule: ribosomal RNA, 494 nt
Filed under: uncultured bacterium
Lineage: Bacteria
Description: partial 16S ribosomal RNA
Rfam family: Bacterial small subunit ribosomal RNA
Source: RNAcentral
GACGAACGCUGGCGGCGUGCCUAAUACAUGCAAGUCGAGCGGACUUACAAAGCUUGCUUUUUAAGUUAGCGGCGGACGGGUGAGUAACACGUGGGCAACCUGCCUGUAAGACUGGGAUAACUUCGGGAAACCGGAGCUAAUACCGGAUAAUCCUUUUCUACUCAUGUAGAAAAGCUGAAAGACGGUUUACGCUGUCACUUACAGAUGGGCCCGCGGCGCAUUAGCUAGUUGGUGAGGUAACGGCUCACCAAGGCGACGAUGCGUAGCCGACCUGAGAGGGUGAUCGGCCACACUGGGACUGAGACACGGCCCAGACUCCUACGGGAGGCAGCAGUAGGGAAUCUUCCGCAAUGGACGAAAGUCUGACGGAGCAACGCCGCGUGAGUGAUGAAGGUUUUCGGAUCGUAAAACUCUGUUGUUAGGGAAGAACAAGUACGAGAGUAACUGCUCGUAGCUUGACGGUACCUAACCAGAAAGCCACGGCUAACUACGUG